AAAGCAGAGAUUGUGUGUAUCGGCUUAGUGCCAUCUAAUGCGCUUUGUACGAAAGAUUUCUCUGCGAAAUCAAUUUGGGGCAGAUGGGCAGUUGUGAUUCAUUGUUAAUUGAAUAGCUCAACAAUCAUCUUCCCCACAAUU
RNAcentral lists this small nucleolar RNA (141 nucleotides) under Arabidopsis lyrata subsp. lyrata. RNAcentral's name for it is "snoRNA snoR135". It matches the Rfam family "small nucleolar RNA snoR135". Lineage: Eukaryota; Viridiplantae; Streptophyta; Magnoliopsida; Brassicales; Brassicaceae. The record is from Rfam by way of RNAcentral.